Molecule: ribosomal RNA, 492 nt
Filed under: uncultured bacterium
Lineage: Bacteria
Description: partial 16S ribosomal RNA
Rfam family: Bacterial small subunit ribosomal RNA
Source: RNAcentral
AGUGAACGCUGGCGGUAGGCCUAACACAUGCAAGUCGAACGGCAGCACAGUAAGAGCUUGCUCUUACGGGUGGCGAGUGGCGGACGGGUGAGGAAUACAUCGGAAUCUACUUUUUCGUGGGGGAUCACGUAGGGAAACUUACGCUAAUACCGCAUCCGCCCUACGGGUGAAAGCAGGGGAACUUCGGACCUUGCGCGGUUGAAUGAGCCGCUGUCGGAUUAGCUAGUUGGCGGGGUAAAGGCCCACCAAGGCGAGGAUCCGUAGCUGGUCUGAGAGGAUGAUCAGCCACACGGGAACGGAGACACGGUCCAGGCUCCUACGGGAGGCAGCAGUGGGGAAUAUGGGACAAUGGGCGCAAGCCUGAUCCAGCCAUACCGCGUGGGUGAAGAAGGCCUUCGGUUUGUAAAGCCCUUUUGUUGGGAAAGAAAAGCAGCAGGUUAAGACCCCGCUGUUCUGACGGUACCCAAAGAAUAAGCACCGGCUAACUUCGUG